Molecule: long non-coding RNA, 878 nt
Organism: Oreochromis aureus
Lineage: Eukaryota; Metazoa; Chordata; Actinopteri; Cichliformes; Cichlidae
Exons: 3
Source: RefSeq, a predicted model, not a curated record
GUCCCCUCCUCUAAAAGCACUCUGUGUGGGGAACAUGAGAGCCAGACCAAAGCUCAGAGGAAGAAACGAGGAACUAAAUGCAAACAUGAACCUGAACCCAGCUCUGUGUCCUUACAGAGUGACAAGUCUAAAGAGGCCAUCAUUCAUUUUAAAGUCCAGCCUGUGUCUGCUGUAGAGAGUGUCACACAGACAGGAUCUGAUGAUCUUCUUGUUCCUAUAAUGAAGUGACUGAUAAAGCUCCUUUCAAACAUGAAGCAGUGAUCAAGCUGCUGCCGACCACAGUGAUGAAUCUGCAGACAGCUGGAUCAAAUCAGAGGAGUUUACUACACCUUACUGACUGUGCUGAUCUCACAGUGAGAGCAAGUUUGUUCCACAGUGUUGAUGCUGAAACAGUGAAACACAGUCCUGUGUUUGAACCCUGACCUUUGACCCUGUAACAGUCAUUUAUUCUCUGGUCUGAGGGUCUCAGCUUGAAGCUGCUCUGAGAUAUAAAGUGCAGCUGUAACAUGUAGAGAUUUGAUUCAACUGGAUUCUGCAGUGAACGUGAAGCUGCUGCAGUGAUGUGUUCACUGUCCUCAGUGUGUGUAGGAGCUUUGCUGCUGUGUGUUGUACUAACUGUAGACGAGACACUGCUGCAUCAUUUAGGCCUGAAUACACUGAGCUGAAAUCAUGUGAUCAGGAGGAAAUGAUGGUGUGGAUCAGCUAAUCAGGAGCAUUGAUCGCACUCUAGAAACCUUUGUAACCUGUACAAAUGAGACUGAACUAGACUUCUGUUUGCUGCUUAACAUUCACAUGCUGAUCAAAGAUGAGCUCAAAGUGUUUUCACUCAGUUGUUCAAGGAGGAGAGAUGAGAUUAAAAUGUGAUCAGGACCAACAAA